GACGAACGCUGGCGGCGUGAAAAAAAAAAAAAAAAAAAACAAAGUGGGGACGGGUGAGUAACACGUGGGUAACCUCCCAUCAGAGGGGAUAACACUUGGAAACAGGUGCUAAACCGAUACUGAUGGAUGGACCCGCGGUGCAUUAGCUAGUUGGUGAGGUAACGGCUCACCAAGGCCACGAUGCAUAGCCGGCCUGAGAGGGGGAUCGGCCACACUGGGACUGAGACACGGCCCAGACUCCUACGGGAGGCAGCAGUAGGGAAUCUUCGGCAAUGGACGAAAGUCUGACCGAGCAACGCCGCGUGAGUGAAGAAGGUUUUCGGAUCGUAAAACUCUGUUGUUAGAGAAGCGGUAUCUAACCAGAAAGCCACGGCUAACUACGUGCCAGCAGCCGCGGUAAUAC
Molecule: ribosomal RNA, 403 nt
Filed under: uncultured bacterium
Lineage: Bacteria
Description: partial 16S ribosomal RNA
Rfam family: Bacterial small subunit ribosomal RNA
Source: RNAcentral